UAUAUAUAUAUAUAUAUUCAACAAAGUAAAAGGGGAAGAAGAAAAGCUUCAAUUAUUAGCUACAAUUACCAAAAACUAAGUUGAUUGAUGUCUUUUCUACGUUGGAGACGAACCAGAAUACCUUCCGAUCCUCACUUUCGGGCUAAUGCUUCUGUAGAAACUUGUAGUGAUAACAAAUUCAAAGUUUAUCCAAGGGCUCUAAAUAUUACAUGGGGUAACGAUAGACGAUAUUGGACCAUUCCUGGUCGAGACCCGUAAGCUUCAACUUUCUCAUUUUGAUACUUAAUUAGCUAUUAAUUCCUUUUCUUACAACAUAAAUUCAACUUUAAUUUCUCAACUUACCAUAAUUUAACCAAUUUAGGCACAUACUUUCCAUACAUAAGGGGAAAAAUUAACUUCUAAUACCAUACCAUAUAUAUUUUAAACACCAAAAUAAUAAUUAUAGUAAACAAAAUAUACUCUUUUGGUUCCAAUGUUUUCUGUAAUGGGUACCUUUGCUAAUUGAAUUUUCAAAAUAUAACUUUUUAGGCGGUUUCGUUAAAUAAGAUAUUGAAAUGUUAUUCUAUUUUGUUUACUACAUUUAGAGAGUAACUUUUUUUUUAUUAUAUUUUAUUAUUGAAGUUGAAAUUAUAAAAUGUAAUCCAUAAUAAAAAAAUAAGAUUAAUUUACAUAAAAAUAACGAAACCAAAAAAUAUUUAUGAUUUGUGUAAUAAAAAAUUGAAGUCGAUGAAGCCACAAUUAUUUUUUUCAUAAAUUUCAAAUUUGUCAUUUAUUGCUUUUAAUAUUGUGGGACCAUUCUUCCACUUCAUUUCUUUUUCUUCUUCUUUGCGAUUUAUUCUUCUCCUAUUCAUACUAUUAAUUAAUUUCUUCAUAUUAUCAGUUCUCAUUUUUCAUAUUCUCACUUCUUCUUUGCGAUUUAUUCUUCUCCUAUUCAUAUUAUCAAUUCAUUUCUUCAUAUUAUUAGUUCUCAUUUUUCAUAUUCUCACUUCUUCUUGUUUACAAUUUUUUUAUUUUCUCUGCCAGAAUUUCUUUCUUCUUCUUCAUUUCUCAUUUUUUUUCUUGGUACAAGAUCUAAAUGAUUGUGUACCAAUAUUUAAACGAUCAGUUGUCUAUCCAAAAUAGAUAGAGAUAGAUCACUAUCAUUAAUAAAUCGUUUAGAUUCGGUACAAAAUCGUUUGGACAUUGGGUACAAGGGUUACAAGGUUAUUUAGACUGUGUGCAAGGGUACAAGAUUGUGUAUUAAGAUCGUUUAGAUUUAGUGCAAAAUCGUUUAGACUGGGUACAAGAUCACUUAUACUAGGUAAAAGGAUAUAAGAUCUUUUAGGCUGGGUACAAGGGAACAAUAUAUUGUGUACCAAGAUCCUUUAGAUUUGGUAUAAGAUCGUUUAGACUAAGUUAUAAGAUUGUUUAGACUUGAUAUGAGUCUAUACAAUCGUUUAGACUUGAUACAAGAGUAUAAAAUCGUUUAGAUUAAGGUACAAGAUAGUACAAAAUUGUUUUUGAUCGUUAUUUCAUGCGUAUGUGAUCGAGAGGUAUUUUUGUUAUGUAAGAGUUAUUUUGUUUGAUUUUGAUUGGUUUUUGGUGUUAAAUUGGUGUUAUCUUGUACAAAAAUGGAAGAAGAAAAAAGAGGGGUAAAAAUGACGCGGACGCCAGGCAGGGGAAAACUGCCGGAAAAGGAGGUUUGAGGUGAAGGCUGUCGGUGAGGGGGAAGUGUGAGAGAGAAGUGAGAAAAGAGGGGUUUCUGUCUUUUAUUCUUAUUUUUAUUGUUUGUUACAUUUUAUAAUUUCUACAACAGCAUUAUAAUAUAAUUUAAAAAAAAAAACAAAAAAAAAAACUAUUCACCAUACUUCCUAAGCCUAUUUUUCAAAAUUUAGAGAUAAAAAAAAAAAAAAAAAAAGUCCAUUUUAAAAGUUUAAGGAACCAAAUGCACCUAUUGCUAAGACAUGGAAACCAUAAAGAUAUCUUUUUAAUAAUAGAACAUAAGAAAGACAAAUAUACUUUACCAAUCCCUCCUUUGUGCUCACUCUUGUUAAUGCAUAUUUUAUAGCAGAGCAUCCAUGAUAAUGGUAUUUAAGAGAUUGUAUUUCUCUCUCUACAUUUGAUUUUCUUUGUGAGCCUAAUUAAAUUUUUUGAUGUGGAAAAAAAAAUCAAUCAAUGAACAAAAAAAGAGAAUCAAUAUUUAGGAACUUUAUCUUUAUAGAGACAACUUUAAUCGUAGUGUUUAAUUAAGAAAUUAUCAUUUACUUGUUUGAUAUCAAAUAAAUAGUAAGUCUAUAAAAAUAAUAGACAAAGAUAAUGUAUGACAUUAAUGAUAAUGUUGAUGAGGAGGGUACGUCAAAGGACGAACCCAUUUGUUUUAAAAGAACAUAGUUUAUUAAUUUGAAUUUUAUUGAUUCGGUGGAUUUGUAUAGGAACAACUAUGAUAAAGAUGAGAAUUAUUUUGCUGAGUUAAAACAAGUAUGUUGGUUAGAAGUAACAGGUUCAAUCAAGAAAGAUCUUGUGCCUGGAAAAACCUACAAAGCUUCUUUCGGUGUCUCACUAAGUCCCGAUGCUUUUGGAUGGGAUGAUUGUAGCGUUUACAUAAUGGCUAAGAUUGGUAAAAAAGGACAUUUCCAUUUGAAGAAAAUGAAUCUUACAACCAUACCUACUACAAGUACUGAUGUAAAAAUUUCCUUUAUUCCUACUCCUGGGGAUGAUUUGAUUGUUCAAGUCCCUCUCACCCAACCUGAUGAUGAUCUAAAUCUCUACUUUGGUCUCUAUGAAGUUUGGACCAAUAGGUGGAAGGGAGGGUUGAGGAUCCAUUAUGCAUUGGUUGAGAUGGUAAUACAUAAUGAUACUGCAAUACCCAUCACAACACAAUAGGUGACCACUCACAUAUAUUUAAAUGAUUAUGGAAGGGCACAUGAUCUUGUCGUACAUCAAACAUGCAUGUAAAUUCUUCAAAUUCUGUAAUCCAUGCAUAUCAUGUAAUAAAAUUCUGUCAUGUGGGUGUUUUAUAUUUAAUUUUAAUUCUUAAAUUUAUGUUCUAUCGUAUAUAAAAAAUAGAAUUGGGUUGACACUGUGAUAAUAUGAUUUAGCGAUAAUAGUUCAAACUUUUCCAAUUUUACAAAUAUAGCAAGUUUUUAAUUCGGUUGCUAUUUUCUAUUUUAAAUUUUUAAUUAUUCCACUAUUAUCUUUCUUCUCCGCCAUCCUUCUCUUCUAUUUGUUUCUGUUAGGUUUCUCCAAUCUUCUUCCUCUGCUUCUAUUCUUCUCCUCCUCUCCUAUUCUCCUUCUUUAUUCUAUCUCUUACGAGGAAAACAAUUUAUCUUUCCAAUAACGUACAUAUUUCUGCUCCCAUUUUCUAAAGCCCUAAUCAUUCUUUCUUAUGUGAGGGAAACAAUUUGUUCCUUUUAAUUGGUAAACUACAAUUGGUGUCCAAAAUUGGUAAGGGAAUUUUCUUUUUUUCAAAUAGAAGAAAUAUGGCCUUUGAUGUCGGUUGGAAAAACUGAAAAUUGAUUUUUAAUGUCACUUUUUAAAAUGUGGAUGUUUAUUGUCCGUUUUGAACCAACAUCAAAGUGGAAGGAUUAAUGUCGGUUUAAAAUCGACAUUAAACAUCCACAUUUUAAAAAGUGACAUGAAACAUCCGCAGUCCUUAAUUUUUUUUAUUAUUUAUUUUUGUAAAAUUAACUCUCUCCUCACUUUACUCAUUCUUCUUCCCUUUCGUCUCAUCUCACCCUAAACUUCCCAAACCCUCUCUUCUAAAUCACUCACUCUUUCAUGCCAUGGAACCACCACCGUCAAAGCACAUCCAAGCCGUCUUGUCGUCCUUCGUGCCCAGUGUCACGCCCCAUGCCCCAAAGGCCACUCUUCACAACCUGAUGAGGACUUGCUGCCUAGACAUAUCCAUUACAUUUCUCUCCACGAGAUAACGCUCUAAACGACUAGUAAGCAGAACAACUCUAGCUUACACUCGUCUCUUCCGCAAAGCUCUUCUAUGGAGCCUUAAAGAUCUUCACAACUUUCUGCAGUGAGAAAGAACUCUUCAACUUAGCUUCGUCGCCUAGCUCUUAUUUCUUUGACUUUACUUUGUUGCCUAGCACAACUUCACUUUAACUCUUAGGCGAUAACUUCAAUAAAUAACAACAAGACAGCUGAAAUAACUGAACUUCUCCUCUUUAUUAGUUUAACACUUAUAGGGUUCAUACAUUACAAAUUUCAACCCUCACCUUACUUUGCAUAAACGAAACCUAGUAUGAUAUUCUUGUCUAGUCCUUCUUCCUAGCAUGAUAUUUAAGAGUAUAAGACUCUGAUCUUAGUCCUUUCGCCUUUUUUCAUCUACAAUCAAUCUCAAGGACAUCUUUAGGGUUUCCUUUUCUUUCUUCGCCGCUUCAAUUGUUCCUUGAGGCGGGGCACCCAAAGGCGUAAGGUCACCUUCUCUUCUUUACCUAGGUCUCUCAGUGUCACGGGCAUGCUUGUCGAAGGCGUUGUUUACAUAUGGCAGCAUGCCCAAAUACCACAAAUUACUUUGUCUUUAUGUCUUGUACGUAGUUUAGUCUAUUACUCACAUUGUCAUGUCACUGAGCUAGAGUAUGACAUUUCGGCAUUUUCAUAUGCAAGCUUGCCAAGGCUAAAAUUGUUCAAAAUGUACUAUAGGGGAGGUAUAGUAGUUGAAUCCUGACCCAAGUCUUGUCGCACUCCUUGUCAGCUUAGCUUUUCUUUGCAAUUGACAGUCUUUAAUGCUUUCUUUUAUGAUGUUUUCAAUGAUUUCCUCUCUCUCUCUCACACAUUUUAUAAAAAAAAAUUCGCAAGAACGUGAAGGGAGGCCAUAUCAUAUCGCGAGUUUGUCCGCGACUUUUGUAUUUUAUACGGCUGACUUAUUGACAGAGAAGAACAAGUAUCGUACAAUCCUGUUUGAAAGGCUACAAUUGUGACACCUAGCACCCUUAACUUGGAAAACAAUCUUUAAGGCUUCUUUUCCCUUCGUCAAUUCAUUGACUCUUUUGAUCUCUGGCUUGGCCUCACCAGCCUAUAUGUGCACUCGUCUUCCUGUUGAACUGAGUUUGAGGCGUUAAGGAGCGAUGUGCUUACUAACAAGCUCCUUUAAAGCAUGAUGAGAUGUCAUGGCUAGCACGCCAUGUAAGACUGCAAGGUAACUUUACCUUCCCUCCUUGAGUAGCCUACAAUGCCCGGGAUCAAUCCUUCGCUUAGCUUUAAUGCCUAACAACCUAGAAAGGGGAAAAACUUAAAACGUAAGUCAAACAGACUUAGUGAGUGAUGAGUUGUAGAAACCCUUUUUGGAUAGUACAACAUAAUUAAUAAUAAUAAUAGGGUCAAACUACAUCGUAUAAACCUUAUCUCAUCCAACCACAAGCAUCUCAAACAUCAAUACAACAAUGCCACCGAUGCCAUGCACUUAGAUCCUCUCACAAUUUAAGUUCAACACUGAGAUUUUGGAUUUUCCCCUUUCCUGACCCUAGGACUCACCCUUAACCAGCAUCACGCAAAUUACCUGGGAUUCCCACCAACAUCUCAUCGCAUUCAAUGUUUCUCAAAACCUAGGAUUCUUCCCUCGUCGAGAUUUUGGGAUCCACAAAUUGACCAGUAUCAUAUGAGUUACUUGAGAUUUCCAUCAGCGUCUUACAAUAUAUCUCACCUUCUUACGUUAUUCCAUCAUUUUUAUCUGAAAGGUUAGUUGCUUAUCUACUUUCCUUACAUCGUGCCAUAGUAAUGACAAUGUUAUGGAAUAAGUAUCAACGACCAAAUAAUCCUCAAGUCAAUUAACAAUAGAAUACAUCAAACACAUAUCAAGUUUAUAGACACAAUAACAACCAUAAGAAAAUAAUAAAAAUCGAUAAUCAGACACUUUCGAAUAAUCCACAAGAGAAUUUAACAUAUAACACAACACGUUAUUUAGGAGAGACUACUUGUAAAACAUAUCAUCCUUCGGUAAGGAUUAACAAGAAUUCAUUCAUGAAAGAUUGCCCCAAAAUAAAUUUUUUCAACAUCGAAAGCAUUUACCUAUAAUUAUCAGCUUUGAAGUCGCGUAGGGAUCUUGUUAACAAUCAAAAUCACAUACAAUUAUUCAUAAUUAAUAAUUCAGAAAAUCAUAUUGAAAACUUAUUUAUCACUCACCACAUUCAAAAUUAAUAGGGAUCACUCAUAAAAUUAUUUAGCCUCUACUCCUUCUUCUUCUACUAUUUGAUUCCUUUCGCCAAGUGGUUCUCUUGACCGAUCUUUCAGCAUUCGAGUUUCUCCUUGACUUCCUAGUUUUAAAAAUCUAAUACAUUCGAACAACCUUUUUCUGUUGGACUUCGGUCCUAUUUAUGUCGAUGUCCCAGACCCAAGGGUCACUUCCCUUCCACCCACUUGUCACCUCACUUAAGUCACCGUGUCAUAUAGCCAACCCAAAACUCGACAUGUAGGUUAACCGUCAGUAGCGAUUGGACAUCCUUUCGAGACACACACUUUAUCUCCUUGGAAACCAAACUCUUUAAUCAUUUGAUCCUCUUAUCUUCUUGGGAAGCAACAGACAUUUAUUUUCCUCAACCAAUGGUCAAGUCAUUCUUACGAGACAGUUCCUUGUCUCCAUUUCCUUAGACGUACACACUUCUUCUCCCAUUAUUAUGCGGAGCGCAUAAGUCUUGGCGUCCAACACAAGUUUCUUCUUUGCCAACCACUCUCAUUGCAUCAUUUGCCUUCUAGCGAUAUAACUUAAGCAUUUCUUUUUGCAUCUUUUCCAUGCGAAAUAUCUCAUGGAUAACUUUCUAGCAAAGAGCUCUUUCGACAUAACUUCCUUUUUUCGAACUAGGGCCUCACAACUAGUCCCUCCUUUUGAGAAUUUCUUCCUCAAAAUUCGGCUCCAUCAUUUUCUUUCCUUUGCCCAACGCCAAACUUCCUCGUGAAACUUGGUGAUCAGUGUGAAAAACUACUUAUGUUCGUGUAGAGUCAUUGCUAAUUUGGCCUAUUCUCAAUAAUUUGUGCAACAUAAAGGAAAUCGUCUCUUCCUUCCUCACUCUAAGCCUUAUGGCGUUGUAUGUCCCUAGUGCGUCGUAUUAUCAACUCGUGGAAUCAUUUCACACGUCUUACCAUGUCUUUGUACUCCUCUCCCUCGGCUCAAGCGUUUACCACACUCUAUUGUCAAGUUGUAGCCAUGCGGAGUAGUCUCGGCGAAUUAGAGGGAUUCCAUCAAUUUCACUACGCAUAACCUAUCUUCCAAUGCCAAAUCACAUAGUAAGCAAUGGGCAUCCCAUACCAGAUCAAACAGGAAGUACGAGCAUCCUAUUCAAGAUCACACAACAUGAAUAGGACAUUUUAUUCAAGAUUACAUAGCAUGAAUAGAGCAUCUCAUCCCAGAUCAUACAGCAAGGACGAGCCAUCCUAUUCAAGAUCACACAACAUUAAUAGAUCAUCUCAUCCCAAAUCAUAUAGCAAGGAUGAGACAUCCUAUUCAAGAUCACUCAGCAUGAAUAGAGCAUCUCAUCCUAGAUCACACAACAAAGACGAGGCAUCCUAUUCAAGAUCACACAACAUGAAUAAGGCAUUCUAUUCAUUUGUAAAUCGUAUGUAUAAAGAGAAUUGAGAACACAAGAAAAAUCAUAUAAGUCUCGUUCAUACCCUCAUAGAAUUUUCGAGACCUUCAAAAUUUGGAGACAACUUGUAAGAGAACCCACUCCUCGUCACAGUUACCUAGCUCUCAAAUCUUCAACCUUUCAAAGCCAAACCACUUACCUAUUGAUAACUCGGAGGAAUACGAGUUUUGUAAAAUGAUGAAUUCCUAUAGUAAAAGAAUAAAAGGAUCAAAGAAAACGUUAGCAAUUUUGACUAACUUAUGGGUCUCGCAUUACCCACCUUACCCAUUAUCUGUGUGGCUUUCUCAAGUUGUGCCUCAUCUUUUUCCCUUCUCACAUCUCGAUCGAUGGAAUGUGCUUCUACAUUCAUUAUGGGCUUGGUAGCAGACUGUAACUUAGUCUGUCUUUUCCAUAACCUUAGCAUAGUGUAUCUCUCAACAAAUCAUGCAGUCGGAGAUAGUUCUCGCAUAAUUGAGGAGUCACGAAGUAAAGAUCAGCUCUCGUAUACUUAGCAUCUGUCAUAGCAACAAUUUGUACGCAAUACUACCCUUGGUAAAUAGCUUGCUCAUCAAGUCAAGUGUCUGACUACCUAGGUCAGACUACCAAAAGCUCUCUCCCUUUUCUAUGACUAAGCAAAAUCAACUUACUUGCCAUCAGACCACUUCAUCUUGAUUCCAACCUUGGCAACUUUUGUUCCAUGAAACUUAUGCUCUGGUACCACCUAUGACGCUUUGUCCCAAAGACCAUUCCUCAUAACCUAAUGAGGGCGUGUCACCUAGACAUCCAUUACGUUUCUCUCCGUGAGAUAAUGGUUUGGAUGCCCACUAACCAGAACAACUCUUACACUUGUCUCUUUCGCAAGGCUCUUCCAUAGAGCCUUAGAGACCUUCACCACUUUCUGCAGGUAAAAACAACUCUUCAGCUUAUCUUCGUCGCCAAGCUCUUAUUUUAAUACUUGUAAGUGAUAAGCAAAAGGACAUACACAGCAGAAAAAUAAUUUACAACCUUUGACUUUACUAUGUCGCCUAGAACAACUUAACUUUAACUCUUAGGUAAUAACUUAAAUAGAUAACAAGAAAACAGCCGAAAUAAAUGAACUUCUCCUCUUUAUUCACUUAACACUUACAAAGUUCAUAUAUUACAUAUUUCAACCCUUACCUUACUUUGCAUAAAACGAAACAUAGUCUUAUAUUGUCCCUUGUCCUUCUUCUUCCUACCAUGGUAUUUAAAAGUAUAAGACUCCGAUCUAAGUCAUUUUCUCUCUUUUCAUCUAUAAUCAAUCUUAAAAACAUCUUCUAGGGUCUCCUUUUCUUUCUUUGCCGCUUCAAUUGCUUCCUUGAGGCGGGGCACCCAGAGGUGCAAGAUCCUCCUUCCCUUCUUUACCUUGGCCACCCAGCACCCCUAACUCUAAAAACAAUCUUUUAGGCUUUCUUUUCCUUUCUCAGUUCUUCGCCAUUUUUGAUCUCUGGCUUGGCCUCACCAGCCUAAGCGUACACUCGCCUUCCUACCGAACUGAGUUUGGGGCAUUAAGAAGUGAUGCACUUACAAAUCGGCUCCUCAAACGUAUGAUGAGAUGUCAUGGCCAGCACGCCAUGUAAGACUACAAGGUAACUCUAUCUUCUCUCCAUGAUCAAGCUACAACGCUCGGAAUCAAUCCUCUACUUAGCUUUAAUGUCUUACAUUCUGGGAAGGGAAAAAACUUAAAACGUAAGUCAAACAGGCUUAGCGAGGGACAAGUUUUAGAAACUCUUUCUGGAGAGUAAAGUAGAAUCAAUAAUAAUAAUAGGGUCAAACCGCAUUGUAUAAAUCUUAUCGCAUCCAUCCAUAAGCACCUUAACAUCUGUACAACAAUGCCAUCGACACCACUCACUUAGAUCCUCUCACAAUUUAAGUUCAACACUGAGAUAUGAGAUUCUUCCUUUGCCUGACCCUGGGAUUCACCCUUAACCAGCAUCAUGCGAAUUACCUUGGAUUCCCACCAACUUCUCAUUGCAUUCAGUCUUUCUCAAACUUGGGAUUCUCCCCUUGCCAAGAUUUUGGGAUCCACAAAUCGACAAGCAUCAUGCGAGUUACUUGGAAUUUUCAUUCACGUCUUACAAUAUAUCUCUUCUUACGUCAUUCCAUCAUUUUUAACUGAAAGGUUAGUUUCCUAAUUACUUUUCUUACAUCGCGCUAGAGUAAUAACAAUGUUACGGAAUAAGUAUCAAUGAACAAAUGCCCUCAAGCCAAUCAAUAAUAGACUACAUCAGACACAUAUCAAGUUUAUAAACACAAUAACAAUCAUAACAAACUAAUAAACAUUGAUAAUCAGGCACUUUCAAAUAAUCAAAAGGUACAUUUUUCCUAUAAUCACUCACAAGAAAACACGUUAUUUAGGAAAGAUUACUCGUAAAACACAACAUCCUUUUGUAAGGAUUAUGUAACGCCCCAAAAUUUCGAGGUAAAUUUUAUCAUUUUAGGUUAAUGUUCGGGUUUUAAAAUUCUUCGGUGUUAAUUUUGGUUGGUUUAGAAGAGAAAAGAAAAAGAAAUUGAAGGGUAUGAUUUUUUUUAAAUAUAAUACAGUAUAAAUUAAUAUAAUAAUAAUAUAAUAUAAAUUAUAUUAUUAUUACUAUUAAUUAUAUUAUUAUUAUUAUUAUUAGUUAAUUUAUAUAUAUAUAUAUAAUAUAUUUUUUUAAAUAAAAUCAAAACCCUAAUUUUCCCUCCCCCACUUGUCUUAUUUUUUCUCUUUCGUUCCUUCUCUCGCAGCCGACGACACCAUUUUUCCCCCUUCAUCCAUUUCUCUUCACGCACUCGUCCCGUCUCCGUCCUCGUCUCCGACUCCGUCUCCGUCUCUGGGGUAGCCGCCCCGUCAUCGUCUCCGUCUCUGCCUCGUACGCCGUCAACUGCACAUCACCGACGGGAAGACAUCCAGCGGCAGCCGUCUCCAACCAUUCUUCUUCUUGGUUCCACGCGCACGGCCAACCAUCGGUCGUCUCUGCCUCGAUUGUGGAGUGUCGACCGUCGUGCAUCUUGCAUCGACGUAGGUAAUCGGGCAAAUCUCCUCUGCCGUCGCCACCGUGUGUUCGCUGCCGUGUGGAAACCAAAUCGGCUCAAAGUCGGCUGAGUUGAGCAGAGCUAGUCGAGUCGUCAUCCGUACCUGAGCCGAAAAGAGCCGUGAGCUAGCCAAGUCAAGCCACGAGCCGAGAAGGGAGCCAAACCAGACCGCGAGCCGAGAGCCGAGCCACGAGCCGAUAACAGAAUUGAGCCGAGCAGAGCCGAGCUACAAGAGCUGCCUCCCAAGCCAAGUCGAUUUUCCAAGCCAAUCUCUUGAUCCACCGAGCCACUUAAGUCGUGUCCAUUCGUGCUGAGUCGGUGAGUCUUGGUAAGGACAACGUGAGGAAUUUUCUAAUGUUUUCAAUAUUAAGUAAGAGCCUAAAUGUGGGAUUAAAAUGUUGAACUGAUUGGUUGGGUUAACUGUUGAUCUCCUGAAGGUGCUAGCGAAGUGACGCUCGAGUUCAGGAGUGUUACGACAAGUGUAGUUGGAACCAACUCUCCUUUAUUGGGUAAGUCGGUAGAAGUUACUUGGAACGUUUGUAAUGUGGAUUUCGAUGAUGUCAUUGUUAAACCCGUAUGUUCGUGUUUAGGUGGAUUCGUUUGGAAGCGGACUUGAACAAGAUUUUAGCUACAUCUCAGAUAAGGGACUUCUUACUACUGGACCUCGGAUCGAGGUAAGGGUACAACGAGGGGCAGACCGACGAGGGGCAAGAAGGAUGCGUGAAGGCCAUAUGGACACGUCUGGUUUUCUUAUGCUUCUGCUGAUGUAUUUUGUUACUCGUUAUUUUCAUUGUCAGAUCGAGUCAUGGUUAGAAUAUUUGGUUUGCGGUUUGUGUUUGAUGAUUUGAGCACUAUAUUUUGGAACACUCCUGAAUGUGAUUUAAAAUAGGGCGCGAAACUGCUUUUGUGAUAUUUUAAACGUUUUUAAUGAAUCAUAACCGGUCUUUUAUGAGCUUGCGUGUUUUAUUGUCGAAGUCUUAGUACUACAUAGUGACCUCAACUUAGUCCGGAAAGUUGGGUCGUUACAGAUUAAUAAGAAUUCGUUCAUGAAAGCUUUCCCCAAAACCACAUUUAUUCCACAUAGCCGAGGAGGCCGAGGAAGGAGAGCAAGACGUGUUCAACCUGAAGUGCAGCCUGUAGCCCAAGCCACUGACACGGCUGCGCCAAUUACUCAUGUGGACCUCGCUGCUAUGGAGUAGAGGUUCAGGGAUUUGAUUAUACAGAUGCGAGAGCAGCAGCAGCCUACCCCGCCAGCUCCAGCUCCAGUUGUACCCCAGAUCGUGCCGGAUCAGUUGUCGGCAGAGGCCAAGCACUUGAGGGAUUUCAGGAAGUAUAACCCCACGACAUUCGAUGGGUCUUUGGAGGACCCCACCAGGGCUCAGAUGUGGUUAUCUUCUUUGGAGACCAUAUUUCGGUAUAUGAAGUGAUCUGAGGAUCAGAAAGUUCAGUGCGUCAUUUUCAUGUUGACAGACAGAGGUACUGCCUGGUGGGAGACGACAGAGAGGAUGCUAGGGGGUGACGUGGGUCAAAUCACAUGGGAACAGUUCAAUGAGAGUUUAUGCGAAAUUCUUCUCUGCCAGUUUGAGAGAUGCCAAGCGGCAGGAGUUCCUGAACUUGGAGCAGAACGACAGGACAGUGGAGCAGUAUGAUGCGGAUUUUGACAUGUUAUCCCGCUUCGCUCCCGAGAUGAUAGCGACCGAGGGGGCCAGAGCUGAUAAGUUUGUUAGAGGCCUCAGGCUAGACAUCCAGGGUUUGGUUUGAGCCUUCCGACCCGCCACUCAUGCAGAUGCACUGCGCCUGGCAGUAGAUCUCAGUUUACAGGAGAGGGCUAACUCGUCCAAGGUUGCAGGUAGAGGUUCGACCUCAGAACAGAAAAGGAAGGCUGAGUAGUAGCCUAUUUCAGUGCCACAGCGAAACUUCAGAUCAGGUGGUGAGUUUCGCCGCUUCCAGCAGAAACCUUUUGAGGUAGGGGAAGCUGCCAGAGGGAAGCCAUUGUGUACCACUUGAGGGAAGCACCAUCUGGGUCGUUGUUUAUUUGGGACCAGGAUUUGCUUCAAGUGUAGGCAAGAGGGGCAUACAGUUGACAGAUGCCCGAUGAGACUUACCGAGAAUGCACAGAAUCAGAGAGCAGGUGCUCCACAUCAGGGUAAAGUCUUUGCUACCAAUAAGACUGAGGCUGAGAGAGCAGGCACGGUGGUGAUAGGUACGCUUCCAGUUUUGAGGCAUUAUGCCUUAGUUUUGUUUGAUUCGGGUUCGUCACAUUCCUUUAUCUCUUAUGCAUUUGUGUUGCAUGCCCGCUUAGAGGUAGAGCCCCUACACCAUGUUUUAUCAGUAUCUACUCCUUCUGAGGAGUGUAUGUUGUCGAAAGAAAAGGUGAAACCAUGCCAGAUUGAGAUAGAAGGUCAUGUGAUUGAAGUAACGUUGUUAGUCCUUGACAUGCUCGACUUUGAUGUAAUUCUGGGUAUGGAUUGGCUAGCUGCUAACCAUGCUAACAUAGAUUGUUCCCGUAAGGAGGUAGCAUUUAACCCUCCCUCGAUGGCCAGUUUUAAAUUUAAUGGAGAAGGAUCAAGGUCGUUACCUUAGGUAAUCUUAGCUAUGAGGGCCAGCAAACUGCUUAGUCAAAGUACUUGAAGUAUCUUAGUGAGUGUGGUGGAUACUAGAGAGGUUGAUGUGUCCCUGACAUCAGAACUAGUGGUGAGGGACUAUCCGGAUGUCUUUCCUGAAGAACUUCCAGGGUUACCUUCUCACAGAGAGAUUGAGUUUGCCAUAGAGCUGGUGCCGGGUAUGGUUCCUAUAUCCAGAGCUCCAUACAGAAUGGCCCCAGCAGAAUUGAAAGCGCUGAAAGUGUAGUUACAGGAGUUGCUUGAUAAAGGCUUCAUUCGACCGAGUGUGUCACCAUGGGGUGCACCAGUUUUAUUUGUUAAGAAGAAGGAUGGAUCGAUGCGCCUAUGUAUUGACUAUAGGGAGUUGAAUAAGGUAACCGUUAAGAACAUAUAUCCCUUGCCUAGGAUCGACGAUCUGUUUGACGAGUUACAGGUAGCUACAGUGUUCUCUAAGAUAGACCUUCGGUCGGGAUAUCAUCAGUUGAGGAUUAAGGAUAGGGAUGUACCGAAGACAGUCUUUCGUUCCAGAUAUGGACACUAUGAGUUUAUUGUGAUGUCUUUUGGUUUGACGAAUGCUCCGACAAUGUUUAUGGAUUUGAUGAACAGAGUGUUUAGGGAGUUCCUAGACACUUUUGUGAUUGUGUUUAUUGAUGAUAUUUUGAUAUUUUUUAAGACAGAGGCCGAGCAUGAGGAGCAUUUACGAAUGGUUCUACAAACCCUUUGAGAUAAUAAAUUGUAUGCAAAGUUCUCGAAAUGUGAGUUUUGGUUGAAGCAGGUAUCCUUUCUAGGCCAUGUGGUUUCUAAGGCUGGAGUUUCUGUUGAUCCAGCUAAGAUAGAGGCAGUCAUCAGUUGGCCCCGACCUUCCAUGGUCAGUGAGGUUCGUAGCUUUCUAGGUUUAGCAGGUUAUUAUCGACGGUUUGUAGAGAAAUUUUCUCGUAUAGCUACUCCUCUUACCUGUCAGUUGACCAGGAAGGGAGCUCCUUCUGUUUGGAGUAAGGCAUGUGAGGACAGUUUCCAAAACCUUAAACAGAAGUUAGUUACUGCACCGGUUCUUACUGUACCUGAUGGUUCAGGGAGUUUUGUGAUUUACAGUGAUGCUUCUAGGAAAGGUUUGGGUUGUGUUUUGAUGCAGCAAGGUAAGGUAGUCGCUUAUGCUUCUCGUUAGUUGAAGAGUGAUGAGCAGAAUUACCCUACACAUGAUUUAUGUUGGCAACGAUAGUUUUUGCACUGAAGAUAUAGAGGCAUUACUUGUAUGGUGAAAAGAUACACAUCUUCACGGAUCACAAGAGCUUGAAAUAUUUCUUUACUCAGAAGGAAUUGAAUAUGAGACAGCGAAGAUGACUUUCAUUAGUGAAGGAUUAUGAUUGUGAGAUAUUAUAUCAUCCAGGCAAGGCGAAUGUGGUAGCUGAUGCUCUUAGUAGAAAGGUAUCACAUUCAACAGCACUUAUUACCCGACAGGCCCCAUUGCAUCGAGAUUUUGAGAGGGCUGAGAUUGUAGUGUCAGUAGGGGCAGUCACUAUGCAGUUAGCCCAGUUGACGGUGCAGCCGACUUUGAGGCAGAAGAUCAUUGAUGCUCAGAGUAACGAUCCUUAUUUGGUUGAGAAGCGUGGCCUAGCAGAGGCAGGGCAAGCUGUUGAGUUCUCCAUAUUAUCUGAUGGUGGACUUUUGUUUGAGAGGCACCUCUGUGUGCCAUCAGAUAGUGCGGUUAAAACAGAAUUAUUAUCGGAGACUCACAGUUCCCCAUUUUCCAUGCACCCGGGUAGUACGAAGAUGUAUUAGAACCUGAAACGAGUUUACUGGUGGCGUAAUAUGAAGAGAGAGGUGACAGAAUUUGUUAGUAAAUGCUUGGUGUGUCAACAGGUUAAGGCACCAAGGUAGAAACCAGCAGGUUUAUUACAACUCUUGAGCGUACCGGAAUGAAAGUGGGAAAACGUGUCCAUGGAUUUCAUUAUAGGACUGCCUAGAACUCUGAGGGGUUUUACAGUGAUUUGGGUUGUGGUUGACAGGCUUACCAAAUCAGCACACUCAUUCAGGGUAAAUCCACCUAUACUGCUAGUAAGUGGGCAUAGUUUUACAUGUCUGAAAUAGUGAGACUACAUGAGUGCAAGUGUCGAUUGUUUCUAAUAGAGAUGCCCGUUUCACUUCCAAAUUCUGGAAGGGUUUCAGGCUGCUAUGGGCACGAGGUUAGACUUUAGUACAACUUUUCACCUACAGACCGAUGGUCAGACUGAGCGUCUGAACCAAGUUUUAGAGGAUAUGUUGCGAGCUUGUGCAUUAGAAUUUCCAGAUAGUUGGGAUUCCCACUUGCAUUUGAUGGAAUUUGCUUAUAAUAACAGUUUUCAGGCUACCAUUGGCAUGGCACCAUUUGAGGCCUUGUACAAAAAAUGUUGUAGAUCCCAUUUUUGCUGGGGUGAGGUGGGUGAGCAUAGAUUGAUGGGUUCUGAGUUAGUUCAGUCUACUAACGAAGCAAUACAGAAAAUUAGAUCACGUAUGCAGACCGUACAGAGUAGGCAAAGAGUUAUGCUGAUGUGAGACGGAAGGAUUUUGAGUUUGAUGUGGGGGACAAAGUGUUCUUGAAAGUAGCACCUAUGAAAGGUGUCUUACGAUUUGAAAGAAGAGGAAAGUUGAGUCCUCGUUUUGUUGGGCCGUUUGAGAUUCUAGAGCGAAUUGGCCCUGUAGCGUAUCACUUGGCGUUGCCACCAUCACUCUCGGCAGUUCAUGAUGUGUUCCAUGUUUCUAUGUUGAGGAAGUACGUGUCAGAUCCAUCCCAUGUAGUAGAUUACGAGCCACUAGAGAUUGAUGAAAACUUGAGCUAUACAGAACGACCCGUUGAGGUGUUGGCUGGGGAGGUGAAGAUGUUGAGGAAUAGAAAAAUUCCUUUAGUUAAAGUCUUAUGACGGAAUCACAGGGUUGAAGAGGCUACAUGAGAGAGAGAAGAUGACAUGAAAGCUCGUUAUCUAGAAUUGUUCGAGGAAUAAAACUUUCAAGGAAGAAAGUUCCUUCAGGAGGGAAGAAUGUAACGCCCCAAAAGGUUAAUGUUCGGGUUUUAAAAUUCUUCGAUGUUAAUUUUGGUUGGUUUAGAAGAGGAAAGAAAAAGAAAUUGAAGGGUAUGAUUUUUUUUAAAUAUAAUUUAGUAUAAAUUAAUAUAAUAAUAAUAUAAUAUAAAUUAUAUUAUUAUUAUUAUUAAUUAUAUUAUUAUUAUUAUUAUUAUUUAAUUUAAAUAUAUAUAUAUAUAUAUUAUGAUAUAUAUAAAAUACAUAUUUUUUAAAAAAAUCAAAACCCUAAUUUUCCCUACCGUGCCCUCACCUCCCCCUUGUCUUAUUUUUUUCUUCUUCGUUCCUUCUCCCGCAGCCGACGACACCAUUUUUCCUCCUUCAUCCAUUUCUCUUCACGCACUCGUUCCGUCAUCGUCUCCGUCUCUUCCUCGUACGCCGUCAGCCACACAUCACCGACGAGAAGACAUCCAGCGGCAACCGUCUCCAACUGUCCUUCUUCUUGGUUCCACGCGCACGGCCAACCAUCGACCGUCUCUGCCUCGGUUGUGCAGUGUCGACCGUCGUGCAUCUUGCAUCGACGUAGGUAAUCGGGCAAAUCUCCUCUGUCGCCGUCGCCGUGUGUUCGCUGUCGUAUGGAAACCAAAUCGGCUCCAAGUCGACUGAGUUGGGCCGAGCUAGUCGAGCCGCCAUCCGUACCUGUACCAAACCGAGCCGUGAUCUAGCCAUGCCGAGCCGCGAGCCAAAAGCUGAGCCAAGCGGAGCCGCAAGCCGAGAGCCGAGCCAAGCCGAGCCGCGAGCCGAAAACUGAGCCAAACCGAGCCAUGAUUCGAUAACAGAACAGAGUUGAGCCGAGCCGAGCCGCAAGAGCCGCCGCCCAAGCCAAGUCGAUUUCCAAGCCAAUCUCUUGAUCCACCAGGCCACUUAAGUCGUGUCCAUUCGUGUCGAGUCCCGGUGAGUCUUGGUAAGGACAAAGUAAGGAAUUUUCUAAUGUUUUCAAUAUUCAGUGAGAGCCUAAAUGUCGGAUUAAAAUGUUGAACUGAUUGGUUGGGUUAACUGUUGAUCUCCUGAAGGUGCUACCAAGGUGACGCUCGAGUUCAGGAGUGUUACGGCAAGUGUAGGUUGAACCAACUCUCCUUUAUUGGGUGGAGUCGUUUGGACGCGGACUUAAACAAGAUUUAGCUACAUCUCAGGUAAGGGUACAGCGAGGGGCAGAUCGACAAGGGGCAAGAAGGAUGCGUGAAGGCCAUAUGGACACGUUUGGUUUUUUUAUGCUUCCGUUGAUGUAUUUUGUUACUCGUUAUUUUCAUUGUCAGAUCGAGUCAUGGUUAGAAUAUUUGGUUUGCGGUUUGUGUUUGAUGAUUUGAGCACAGUAUUUUGGAACUCUCGUGAAUGUGAUUUAAAAUAGGGCUCAAAACUGCUUUUGUGAUAUUUCAAACGUUUUUAAUGAAUUGUAACCGGCCUUUUAUGA
This is an RNA transcript of Cucumis melo (muskmelon), 17647 nucleotides long. It is a transcript of the gene named protein PHLOEM PROTEIN 2-LIKE A9-like, with no coding region annotated. NCBI's taxonomy places the organism in Eukaryota, Viridiplantae, Streptophyta, Magnoliopsida, Cucurbitales, Cucurbitaceae. The transcript has 5 exons. The record is from RefSeq and is a predicted model, not a curated record.